Molecule: transfer RNA, 71 nt
Filed under: Ovis aries (sheep)
Lineage: Eukaryota; Metazoa; Chordata; Mammalia; Artiodactyla; Bovidae
Rfam family: tRNA
About the family: Transfer RNA (tRNA) molecules are approximately 80 nucleotides in length. Their secondary structure includes four short double-helical elements and three loops (D, anti-codon, and T loops).
Source: Rfam by way of RNAcentral
UCCCUUUUGGCUCAGCUGGUAAAGAAUUCAUCUGCAAUGUGGAUGAUCUGGGUUCGAUCCCUGAAUUGGAA